This 108-nucleotide ribosomal RNA is filed under the name Bacillus paranthracis. Its description in RNAcentral is "partial 16S ribosomal RNA". It matches the Rfam family "Bacterial small subunit ribosomal RNA", at positions 1 to 103 of the family's 1533-position model. The record is from RNAcentral. Lineage: Bacteria; Bacillati; Bacillota; Bacilli; Caryophanales; Bacillaceae.
UUAUUGGAGAGUUUGAUCCUGGCUCAGGAUGAACGCUGGCGGCGUGCCUAAUACAUGCAAGUCGAGCGAACGGAUUAAGAGCUUGCUCUUAUGAAGUUAGCGGCGGAC